Molecule: ribosomal RNA, 497 nt
Filed under: uncultured bacterium
Lineage: Bacteria
Description: partial 16S ribosomal RNA
Rfam family: Bacterial small subunit ribosomal RNA
Source: RNAcentral
GAUGAACGCUGGCGGCGUGCUUAACACAUGCAAGUCGAACGGUGAAACGCCGUCCUUUCUGGUCUGUGUGGAUGGGCGGCGGAGUGAUGACUAAGACGUUAGCAACCUGCCCCGUCUUUCUGGAUAACCGCAUGACAGUGUUGCUAAUACUGGAUAUUCUGAAUCUGUCGCAUCAUGGGUCUGGGAAAGAUAUUGUUUCGGUAGGUGAUGGGCUCGCGUCCUAUUAGCUUGUUGGUGGGGUGACGGCCUACCAAGGCGGCGAUGAGUAGCCGACCUGAGAGGAGGAUCGGCCACCAUGGAACUGAGGCACGGUCCAGACGCCUACGGGAGGCAGCAGCAGGGAAUAUUAGUGCAUGGGCGGAAGCAGGAUGGAGCAACGCCGCGUGGGUGAGGAAGGUCUUCGGCUCGUAGAGCACUUCUAUUGGGGAAGAAGAAGUGUUGCAUUAUCUGUGGGUGUGUUGACGGUACCUAGAGAAGAAGCCCCGGCUAACUACGUG